This 442-nucleotide ribosomal RNA is filed under the name uncultured bacterium. RNAcentral's name for it is "partial 16S ribosomal RNA". It matches the Rfam family "Bacterial small subunit ribosomal RNA", at positions 338 to 795 of the family's 1533-position model. The record is from RNAcentral.
CCUACGGGAGGCAGCAGUGGGGAAUAUUGGGCAAUGGGCGCAAGCCUGACCCAGCAACGCCGCGUGAAGGAAGAAGGCUUUCGGGUUGUAAACUUCUUUUAAGAGGGAAGAGCAGAAGACGGUACCUCUUGAAUAAGCCACGGCUAACUACUUGCCAGCAGCCGCGGUAAUACGGAGGUGGCAGGCGUUGUCCGGAUUUACUGGGUGUAAAGGGCGUGCAGCCGGGAAGACAAGUCAGAUGUGAAAGCCCGCGGCUCAACCGCGGAACUGCAUUUGAAACUGUUUUUCUUGAGUACCGGAGAGGUCAUCGGAAUGCCUUGUGUAGCGGUGAAAUGCGUAGAUAUAAGGAAGAACACCAGUGGCGAAGGCGGAUGACUGGACGGCAACUGACGGUGAGGCGCGAAAGCGUGGGGAGCAAACAGGAUUAGAUACCCGGGUAGUC